Podarcis lilfordi (Lilford's wall lizard) is the source of this 3637-nucleotide non-coding RNA. The record is from the annotation of a GenBank genome assembly. Lineage: Eukaryota; Metazoa; Chordata; Lepidosauria; Squamata; Lacertidae.
GUUUUGUUGUUCCUUCACCAUCUCCACCAAGGAGACCUUGUUGUUCUGGGUUGUCAAGAAUGGCAAGAAAGCCCAAGAUGAUUAACUUGGUUGUGCUUCUCGGCAUUUUAGCUCUGCUCUUUUGUGAGUAAAACAGAUGGGGUGUUGUCAGUCUCGGGUGUGGAGAUAAUUCCAUUGCUUCAUGUUACACCAUUUGCAACCAUUAAGUCUCUUCCAUUCUAUCUUGGUAUGAAUUUUGUGCAUUUCCCAUACAUAUGUGCUUUAUGUCCUGUAAGUGUUUGUUGUUGUUAUUAGCAAAGCGGGACCAUAAAUGUUAACAUUUUUUGAAAUGGCAUGAGCCUCUGUAAACAAGGCUUCAAGUGAUUUUAAUGAAGUCAGUUUAUGCACAUUAUUGAUAAGGGGUGUUUGGGACAACUUUUAGCAUACACUACUGGGACACCUUUAGGGACGCGGGUGGCGCUGUGGGUAAAACCUCAGUGCCUAGGACUUGCCGAUCGUAUGGUUGGUGGUUUGAAUCCCCGCGGCGGAGUGAGCUCCCAUCUUUCGGUCCCAGCUCCUGCCCACCUAGCAGUUCGAAAGCACAAUUAAGUGCAAGUAGAUGAAUAGGUACCGCUUUAUAGCGGGAAGGUAAACAGCGUUUCCGUGUGCUGCGCUGGUGCUGGCUUGCCAGAGCAGCUUCGUCACGCUGGCCACGUGACCCGGAAGUGUCUCCAGACAGCGCUGGCCCCCGGCCUCUUAAGUGAGAUGGGCGCACAACCCUAGAGUCGGACACGACUGGCCCGUACGGGCAGGGGUACCUUUACCUUUUUACUGGGACACCUUUAACAAGAUGAAAGGUUACACCAGCACUAUCCUAUGAAAACAGGAUGCUGGACUAGAUGCUAGCCUACAGAGCUCUUCCUAUGUUCUUAUGUCAUGUUCUCUGCAUAAUUCUUGUUCAAAAUGAAUUCUAGUUUAUUUUCCAUAUAAAUGUUAUCUUAAGCUAUUCCUGAGAUUGCACAUUCUAGAUCAGUAAUGAUGACCAACAGCUGCCACAACAAAAUGGCCUCGUAUAUAUUAGCAGUAAAUGCUUACUGGACCUCAGAUCAUUCUGUAACUUUAUCUUGCAUUAGUUUUGAUGCACAUGAAGCUAUUUAGAAUUAGGGUGGGUUGUGAUGCAAUUUCAUGCUAAAUUACUUCCUCCUUUCAAGCAGCUGAAGCUAUCAAAUGCAAGGUGUGCAAAUUCCAAUAUCCUGGUUUUAUCUGUUUCAAAGGAAGUGAUGUAUGCACAGCCUUACGUUGCAAAACAACCUAUAUCAAAGAAGGUAUGUUUGCCUUGAAAUUAACUCUUAUGUGUUAAUUUAAGUGGGAUGGAGUGGCCAUACUAGUUUCAUGGCAUGUGGGUCAUUGAGCCUGUUGCUUACUGGAAAGGAGAGGGGUGAGGAGGUGCAAAAGCACUGGGAGAGCAGUUCCAGAACUCCUGGUGGUGCCUUUGCACCAAGCCAAUCUCCUUGCCCUUCUCCCUUCUGGUAAACAACAGCGAUCCAACUGCUGGGAAGCAAAUGUAGCAGUUCCCUCGAGCUACUUCUGUACAUGUCUCAUCUCACCGGCUUAUUUUCUGUCUUUUAUUGCUAUGUGCUAGACUAGGGCUUAUCCGGGGAUGCAGGUGGCGCUGUGCUCUAAACCACUGAGCUUUGGGCUUGCCGAUCAAAAGGUUGGUGGUUCGAAUCCCUGUGACGGGGUGAGCUCCCAUUGCUCGGUCCCAGCUCCUGCCAACUUAGCAGUUCGAAAGCACGCCAAAAAGUGCAAGUAGAUGAAUAGGUACUGCUCCGGAGGGAAGGUAAACGGUGUUUCCGUGCACUGCUCUGGUGUCGGUGUUCUGUUGUGCCAGAAGUGGCUCAGUCAUGGUGGCCACAUGACCUGGAAAAACUGUCUGCAGAGCGGACAAGCGCUUGCUCCCUCGGCCUGUAAAGUGAGAUGAGCAACCCCAGAGUUGUUCGUGACUGGCCUUAACUGUCAGGGGUCCCUUUACCUUUAGGGCUCAUCCAGAAUUCCUUUGGUGGGCCAUUUCUAGGCACAAGUUCAAGCUUUAAAGCUCCGCAUCUGAGUAGGUUUUUUGUUUUGGUGCUGGUGCUUUCCCCAGGAAAACCCACGUUUUACCACUGAAUCAGAGCAAACAGUGAUCAGGUUUUCCAUGGAUAGCUUCAUUAAUGAACUCCCAAAUCUGGAAUCCCCUUAGAACUGGUGCCAAAGUUUUGCAAUCGUUUCGCAGUGAAGGCCCAACGUUUGCAGCGCCCCACAAAUGGAGUAAUUGAUACAUCAAAGCGGGGCUCAUAAUUAAUGCCCCAAACCCAAUGUGUCCAAUUCACUCCAAACAGAUGCCAAACUCUGGCAAAAAGUUUUGCAGCAUUGGUCAGUAAAAACCCUGUGUUUUGCAGCGCCCCAAAAAUGGAGCAGUAGACAUUCAAACCCGGGGGUCAUGGGGUCACCAAAAUCCCAACGUUGUCCAAUUCACUUCAAACCGGCGCCAAACUUUGGCAAAAAGUUUUGCAGCGUUUUGCAGUGAAAACCCUGAAUUUUGCAGUGCUGCACAAAGACCAAGGGAGGGAGCAGAGCAGGAGCCCCUGCCAUGAUGCUGAUGCCCAUGUUGCCACCGACCUCUGGCCCUUCCCUGGCUUGGAAGGAGCGGUGCAUGGUGAGGGGGGUGGGGUGAAUGUGGGGCCCAAUGUUUUGUUCAAGUUGGCGCUACUGGCUAGAAGGAAAUUGGAUUCCCUCUGCAUGUUUGUGUGUGUGUGGGAGGGUAGCUGCCGUGACUUCUCUUUGAAUGUGGUUUCACCAAUUAUGCCAGCCUUUCUCAAGCUUGGGUCCCCAGAUGUUGUUGAACUACAACUCCCAUCAUCCCUAGCUAGCAAGGCCAGAGCUCAGGGAUGAUGGGAGUUGUAGUCCAACGACAUCUGGGGACCCAAGGUUGAGAAACACUGACUUAUGCAUUUGUUUUUAUUCCUCUGCAGUUGAACGGAUGCUUUACGUGGAAAAAGGAUGCACCACUAUACCACCUGACAGGUGUCAUUAUACCACCGGAAAUCUUACCCACAGCCUCAUGACAGUCUGCUGUAAAGGAAAAGAUUAUUGCAAUGCCUGAGCAUUUCCUAGAGGAGCAUGACCCUCUAGGCUGAGCUUCUUUAUGGCAGCCAUACUUCUGAGACCAUUUCAGCUGUGCUUUAAAAGGCUUUGCCAUACCAAAUUGUCUUCCGAAAUCUCACCCUUUUCCUGAAAGAGGGAUAAUGUGGUUUGUCACCCAUGGAUCCUUCUCCUUAGUGUUUCUUUUCCUUUUCCUUUUCCUUUUCCUUUUCCUUUUCCUUUUCCUUUUCCUUUUCCUUCCUUUUUGGCGGGGGUGAGGUGUCAGUAUUCAAAUCUUGAUAAAAGUGCUCAGAGUGCCAGCACAAAAGGACUACCAUGGCGCGGGGCAAAAAAAGAGGUCACGGUAUUCCAUAUAAUUGAGUACUAUCACGCCAAAACAAAACAAAAUCCUGCCUCUUCCAAUUGCCCAGAGAGCCACGUUUUAGACAUUUUCAAAAAAAAAAAAGAAAAGAAAAAAAAGAUUGCCCAGGAUUUUAACUGAUUUUAUAUUUACUGCUUUUUAAAUUUUUACUGUUGC